CCUACGGGUGGCAGCAGUGGGGAAUAUUGGACAAUGGGGGAAACCCUGAUCCAGCGACGCCGCGUGAGUGAAGAAGUAUUUCGGUACGUAAAGCUCUAUCAGCAGGAAAGAAAAUGACGGUACCUGACUAAGAAGCCCCGGCUAACUACGUGCCAGCAGCCGCGGUAAUACGUAGGGGGCAAGCGUUAUCCGGAUUUACUGGGUGUAAAGGGAGCGUAGACGGCAGCGCAAGUCUGGAGUGAAAUGCCGGGGCUCAACCCCGGAACUGCUCUGGAAACUGUGAAGCUGGAGUGCAGGAGGGGUAAGCGGAAUGCCUGGUGUAGCGGUGAAAUGCGUAGAGAUCAGGAGGAACACCGGCGGCGAAGGCGGCUUACUGGACUGUAACUGACGUUGAGGCUCGAAGGCGUGGGGAGCAAACAGGAUUAGAUACCCGAGUAGUC
This 440-nucleotide ribosomal RNA is filed under the name uncultured bacterium. Its description in RNAcentral is "partial 16S ribosomal RNA". It matches the Rfam family "Bacterial small subunit ribosomal RNA", at positions 338 to 795 of the family's 1533-position model. The record is from RNAcentral.